This 305-nucleotide long non-coding RNA is filed under the name Phoenix dactylifera (date palm). RNAcentral's name for it is "long non-coding RNA (PDAC_LNC017544)". Lineage: Eukaryota; Viridiplantae; Streptophyta; Magnoliopsida; Arecales; Arecaceae. The record is from RNAcentral.
AUUUUUAUUUUACAUCUGGUUGUAUUUCUGUGAUGUGAUGUACGUCAACGAUUAAGUUGAAGACAAGGCAUGAGAUGAACGGUGAUCUAAGCGGUUGAUGGCGAUGGGAUCAAGAGUUGAUCAAGGAUCGAAUCAAGGAGGCUUGGAACCAAUUCAAGAGUUGAAGAUCAGUUGAUCAAUUGACGUGCAUGUGCUUGUAAUACGACCUAAUUAGAAUCCAUGAUCAUCACCUAGUUAAAGUUUAGCUUUAUUUGAUGCUGCGAUUAUAACUGCCUGUGAUGUGCCGUUUGCAUGUGAUGUGAAUG